Molecule: non-coding RNA, 72 nt
Organism: Pangasianodon gigas (Mekong giant catfish)
Lineage: Eukaryota; Metazoa; Chordata; Actinopteri; Siluriformes; Pangasiidae
Source: the annotation of a GenBank genome assembly
UACUUGGAAGACUAGUGGUUAGGCCUUGGCGCUCUCACCACUGCAGCGGAGGUUCGAUUCCUGGCCAGGAAA